This 72-nucleotide transfer RNA is filed under the name Loxodonta africana (African savanna elephant). It matches the Rfam family "tRNA". From Rfam's summary of the family: Transfer RNA (tRNA) molecules are approximately 80 nucleotides in length. Their secondary structure includes four short double-helical elements and three loops (D, anti-codon, and T loops). Lineage: Eukaryota; Metazoa; Chordata; Mammalia; Proboscidea; Elephantidae. The record is from Rfam by way of RNAcentral.
GUAGUGGUGGUUCAGUGGUAGAAUUCUCCCCUUUUUAUGCUGCAGAUCCUGGUUCUAUUCCUGGCCAAUGCA